GAUGAACGCUGGCGGCGUGCCUAACACAUGCAAGUCGAGCGAGGGUUUGCUCAGUAUUGAGUAUUCUAAAACUAGAAUGUUCAAUUCUGAGCAAAACCAAGCGGCGGACGGGUGAGUAACGCGUGGGUAACCUGCCCUAUACACAUGGAUAACAUACUGAAAAGUUUACUAAUACAUGAUGAUAUAUAUUUGCGGCAUCGCAGAUAUAUCAAAGUGUUAGCGGUAUAGGAUGGACCCGCGUCUGAUUAGCUAGUUGGUGAGAUAACUGCCCACCAAGGCGACGAUCAGUAGCCGACCUGAGAGGGUGAUCGGCCACAUUGGAACUGAGACACGGUCCAAACUCCUACGGGAGGCAGCAGUGGGGAAUAUUGCACAAUGGGCGAAAGCCUGAUGCAGCAACGCCGCGUGAACGAUGAAGGUCUUCGGAUCGUAAAGUUCUGUUGCAGGGGAAGAUAAUGACGGUACCCUGUGAGGAAGCCCCGGCUAACUACGUGCCAGCAGCCGCGGUAAUACGUAGGGGGCUAGCGUUAUCCGGAUUUACUGGGCGUAAAGGGUGCGUAGGUGGUCCUUCAAGUCGGUGGUUAAAGGCUACGGCUCAACCGUAGUAAGCCGCCGAAACUGGAGGACUUGAGUGCAGGAGAGGAAAGUGGAAUUCCCAGUGUAGCGGUGAAAUGCGUAGAUAUUGGGAGGAACACCAGUAGCGAAGGCGGCUUUCUGGACUGCAACUGACACUGAGGCACGAAAGCGUGGGUAGCAAACAGG
This 762-nucleotide ribosomal RNA is filed under the name uncultured Peptostreptococcus sp. RNAcentral's name for it is "bacterial SSU rRNA". It matches the Rfam family "Bacterial small subunit ribosomal RNA", at positions 28 to 776 of the family's 1533-position model. The record is from RNAcentral. Lineage: Bacteria; Bacillati; Bacillota; Clostridia; Peptostreptococcales; Peptostreptococcaceae.